CCCAGAUUUCAAAUUGUGAUUAGUGCCCAACAAUGUCAAGUAACUCUCUUGUAGAAGAGGACAUAUGCAGCAGACGUUUUGAUCCUAUCCUCGCUAACAGAAGAAACAUUCUCAUCAUCAAAUUCAUACCACCUACAAUGGCCAUGAUCAACAAAUGCAGUAUAGUGACCACCUCCCAUGCCUCCAUAAUGAUUACUUAUAGCAUACAGUUCAUAACGAUUAGAAAAUUGGCCAUCCU
Molecule: unclassified non-coding RNA, 238 nt
Filed under: Hevea brasiliensis (rubber tree)
Lineage: Eukaryota; Viridiplantae; Streptophyta; Magnoliopsida; Malpighiales; Euphorbiaceae
Source: RNAcentral